GUCAACUUAAUUUACUUGAAAAAGGUUGCAAAUGUUGGAAUUCGCUAAAUUCGUGUUUGUUUUCUUGAAGGUUUUUGCCAACGAAGACAAACAGGGAGAUGAAGAUGAAACACAGGGACAUAAAAGAGUUGCUUAUGGAAAUGAUAAAGAGAAGGGAGAAGGCAAUUAAAGCAGGGGAAGAGAGCAAUGAGGACUUGUUGGACAUACUUGUGGAAUCCAAUAUCAGAGAAAUGGAAGCAAAGAAUAUUGGGAUGAGCAUUGAGGAUGUGAUUGAGGAAUGCAAGCUGUUUUACUUAGCUGGCCAAGAGACCACUUCGGUCUUACUGGUGUGGACUAUGGUUUUAUUAGCAAGGUAUCCCGAUUGGCAAAGUAAAGCAAGAGAGGAGGUUUUGCAUGUUUUGGGUGACAGUAAACCUGACGCUGAUGGCCUUAAUCGUCUCAAAGUUGUAAGUCCCUAGCAUGUCUUUUGAAGGUCCGAUCAAUGAGGUCGACAACUCAAAAACUUUGUUUCUUUUUUCGCUAAUUCUACAGGUAACAAUGAUAUUGUACGAGGUUCUAAGGCUGUACCCACCGGUGGUUGAGCUAGAACGUUCCGUUCCAAAAGAAAUAAAACUGGGGAAUUUGUUGUUACCAGUAGGAACAGAAGUUUCGGUUCCGAUCCUGCUGAUCCACCAUGACAAAGAUCUUUGGGGCGAUGACGCACGGGAAUUUAAGCCAGAGCGGUUCGCGGAAGGGGUUUCCAAAGCAACAAAGAGUCAAGUCACGUUUCUGCCAUUCGGAUGGGGUCCUAGGAUCUGUAUUGGCCAAAAUUUUGCUAUGAUGGAAGCCAAAAUGGCGAUGGCUAUGAUUCUCCAACGCUUCUGGUUCGAGCUUUCCCCUUCCUAUGCUCACUCUCCUUACGGCAGGGCAACUCUUCGUCCACAGCAUGGUGCACAGAUAAUUUUACAUAAACUUGGCUGUAAUUGAAUUGUUAUGUAAACAAAUCUUUGUGAAAACAUAGCGUUUUAGUUUAUCGUCAAAGUCCGGUGUCUGUAAUGGUACAAAUUCGAUGCAUGAAUAGUAAAGUUUGAGAUGUUUGGUGAAGUCCGAAAUAAUAUGCAGAAAUUGAGUGUGGUAAUUAUCAAUCAAAUAAUUCGGUACAAAGACUUACAUGGAAAUUAAAGCAGGGGGAGUUGAAAAUGACUACUCUGCUUUGGGCAUCAAUUUAGAAAGAUUUAAAGUACAAAUGUGUUAUUAGUUAAGGGAUUUGUUUUAAAGAGGGAAUGACAAUUAAACCUCAUGGUUGAUUUGUGGAAGGGAACCGAUGAUGGGAUGAUUAUUCUUAGUGGUAAAAAAAACUAUUGUGGAGGUUAUUAUACUUGUUAUCAUCGGCUUAAAAUUCGAAUGGGUUCAAGUCGGAUUAUAUCGAGCUUGUAAGAUGAGUUCACGGAUCAAAUUUGCAUAAUAAAAAUACUUAAAUGAAAAAAAUUUCUAUUUUAGAGGGACCAGAGCCCCUACCAAUUCCCGGCUCAGCUACUAAACAAUACCCAUAUCAUAUAAAUAAAUACCACCAUAAAAAAAACUCAAAGAAAAACACUGACAAAUGAUAAAUAGAUAGAUGUUGGAUAAGUGUCCAAAAUAUGAUUUAAGUGAAGAUACAUGGGGUAGGUGUCACGGAAAUGUGAAUACAAGAAUACUACUAAUGGGAUGUGUACAGUUGAAUGUAGGGAGCAAAAAGAGGAGUGAAUCAUUUUGGUAACAUUGGGACAAGAAACAUAAUGAACAAAAUGGAAGGAGAGGAAGCUAGUAAAAGAAAUUUUUUGGGUCAUAUAAUUUGUUUGGCAUAUAUUUUUAUAAUUUUUAAAUAUCAUUUUGGACUUGAAUUAUAAUUUUUUUAUAUAUUAUCUUAAAAUUGUAUAAAUUUUAAGGAGUUAAAACAAAAUUAUUCUAUUUUUAGAUGGUUAAAGUAGAGAUGAUAAUGGGUUGAGCUAUUCGGCCCAGCCUGACGAUCCACCCGAAAAAUAGGAAGGUUUGGGUAAAAAUAUAGGCUUGAAAUAUGAAUUUGAGCAAAAAAAGAGGCCCGUUUAGAAAAUGGGCCGAGCCUCGGGUAAAACCUUUUGGGUCUAGACCUGACCUAAAUUAUAUAUUAAAUAUAUAUAUUUUUAUUUUUAAUCAAAUAUACUUUUGUUUUAUUAUUAAUUUGGUUAUUAUUUUAGUUCUAAUUUGUUUCAAUUUUAAUAUAACUACUUUUUAUUAUAUUUUCAAUUUGUGCAUUGUUUUAAGAAUUAUUUUAGUCUCAUUAUUUAUUUAUUUUUUAUUUUAAUAUUUGUUUUAAAAUUUUUUAUUUAUUGAAAUAAGCUAAAAAAAUUAAUAUGGGUUGGACCAGACCGGGCUCGGGCCUAGUAAUUUUCUUUUGGGCCGGACUUAAACAAAUUUUUAAGCCCAUAUUUUGAAUUGGGUCCUACACUAGAAAAUGGACCUAAAAUUUUGUAUUACCUUUAGGUCAGAGCUAUCCUCGUUUUGCAUUUCUUUGAGAUUCAGCCUUAUUUACUUUUGAUUGCCCACUCAAUAGAGGGUUGAGUAGAAAUAUUUGGUGAAGCAAGCUAAGCUAUCAAUCAAGGUGUGCAUAAUUAUUUAAAUGUAAUUCUAAUAUUAAAAUAAAAUUUUUAUUAAUAUAGUAUCAACAAGCAUUAAAUGUAAUCAUCAUAUACUAUUAAAUUUUCAAUAAGAGAAAACAAGCUUGAACUUUAAAAACGAUGUUACUAAAAACAUUAUCACAAAUCUUGAAAUAUAAAAAAUACUUUUUAAUAUAAUAAAAAAAUAAUUUUAAAACCGAGAUGAAUAAAAUUCUAAUUUUAAUUAAUGAUACCAACAACAAAUCAAUAUUUAAAUUAAAAUUUAUCUUAAUUUAAUAUAAUAAAAUUGGACUUGAAUAUUGAAUUUUUGAGUCUUGGGCAAAGUAGAGGUGCUCAUGGGCCGGGUUGGGUCGGGUUUGGGAAAAAUUUCGGCCCGCAUCCUAGGCUCGGGCUCGGCCCGACCCAAAUAUGGGCCUAAAAUUUUGUCUAGGCCUAGCCCGGCCCGGCCCAACUCAUUUUUUUUAAUAAACACCAAAAAUUUAUUUUGAAAAUAAAAAAAUAAAAAAAGUAUUUUAAAAAUAUUUUAAAAUUUUUAAAAAAUAUAUAUAUUUAUUAUAUAUUCGGGCCGGGCCAGGCCCGAGCCAAAAAAGUGGCGCCCAAGGCCCGGCCUGUUUUCUAAACGGGACUCAUUUUUUACCCAAACCCAUAUUUCGGGCCUAUAUUUCUACCCGAAUCUCUCAUAUUUAGGGCGAACCGUCGGGCCGGACCGGGCCGCCCGGCCAUGAACACCUCUAGGACAAAGUCACUCAAUGAAUGCAUGGAAAGAAAUAAUGCAACUUGGUGAUAGCUUUUGUUGGAGUUAUAUGCUUUUUUUUUACGUAGUGGAACUUUCGGUGGAUUUUCAAGUUUCAUGAACUUUAUACUCUAUGCUUUACGUGAAAAAAAAAAUUCAUUGGACUUAAAAGUCUACCAAAAGUUUCACUAAAAAAAAAACCAUUGCUACAAGAUUACAACAUAAAGUUACAAUAAGAGCUUAUAACUCAACAAAGGCUAUCAAUAAAUAAUCUCAAACAAAUUAAAGAGAAAUGUUGAGAGUACCACUCGAAUAGUGAUUAACUUUAAAAAUUGAAAACCCAAAGUUAUAAUAUCCCAAACGAAAUCAAACCAUAAACAUUAAAUUUUUCGAGUCUACUAGAUACUGCAAAAAAUUCAGCUCCAACAGACACCAAAUGAACCUAUGAUCGAAGAAAAUACGAAAACUAGUCUAGCUAAAUCAAGCUGCCAAACUUACUUUUUAUCUUAUCUUUAAUUUGCUGUGAAAUUCAAAACUAAGGUUUUGUACUUAGAACAACUUUCAAAAAGUUAAUUUUGAAAAAUGGAUUGAAUUUUCAAAAUAGAUGAUAUUUUAUUGUGUUAAAAUUUUAUUCGUUGUUUGAAAAAAAAUUUAAAUCAUUUUCUUAGAAUUAUUUUUAGUGAAACAAACAUAUCAUAAAUAUAUUUGUUAUAAAAUAUUUAUAUUAAUAUUUUCUUUUAACAAUUAAAAUAUAUUUUGUGAUAAGGUAUAUUUUAUAAUAAUUAAUAUCAUAUAUACUUAAUAAUAAAUCAUGUCUAAUUAAAAUUUAAUUUCAAUUAAAUAUAUUAAUAAAGCUACAUAUAAUCAUAUUUUAUAUAAUAAAAAUAUUAAUAUAAAUAUUUUUUUAAUAAUAUAUUAAAGAAUAUUUAAAAUUUAAAUUUAUUAUUACUAAGAUUAAUUAUUAAAAUAAAAAUGUAAUGUUAAAUAAUUUAUCCAAUGAUAAGUUAUAUUAAUAAUUUAUUAUAUUAUUAAAUAUAAAUAAUUAAAUAUGUAUGUUUAAUAAUAUUAUGUUAUAAUAUUUAUUAUUAAUAUUUUAAUAUUUUUAAACAACCAUGUUUUAAAGAUGGUGGUGAUGGUGAUGGUGCAGGCCCCCUUGUUACAAUUACAAUAUUUUUAAGUGGGAUGCAUGUAAUAUAUUGUUAGGGUUUUAGAGUGUGUGGUCUUUAAAAGGGUUAAAUUAUAUAUUUAUAUAAUAUGAUUAUUGUUUAUAAAUAUAAUAUUGUAGAUAAACUUUUAUGCAUGUCAAUAUGUAUCCUACUCUGGGGUUAAUAUGUAUUUUUAGAUAUGGAUUCACCUAUAUAAUAGUAUGAAUCCAUCAUGCGGUCUCAUGAAAUAUACAAACACAUAUCGUGCGAACACAAAGUACGAACAAUAAAAAGUACAAAUCAAGACCAAUUGAGUAAUUGAAUAGCAGAUAGGUAAUAAUGACUAUCCCCUCUUGUUUGAAUUUAUUUUAUUUCCAGUGAGUUAUCGUUUAUGAUAAAUUUACAACAAAUGUUUUUAUCAUUAUUUUGUUGGUAAAUGAUAAUAAGAUUAAACUUUACUUUCUUAAGCUCCUUCAAUUCUUUGGACGUUAGCAAGUAAACUUGAGCUUCAGCAUUCCACAAACACCUUAAUUUGAAGACACAGUUCUCCCAUACUAAAAACAACAUGGACGUUUACCUUGUAAUUAGAGAUUUGGGCUCAUUGUUAGGUUAUUAAUGAUACGGGGAUGGAGAGCUUUAAACUGGGUAUGGCUGGCCCCAAAGAGGCUCGAAACGUGCUUGAGACUAGAGGUCCAGGCAAAUUUUUAGGCCCAUUUUUUAGGCCUGGACUGGGCCCGACUCGAAAUAUGAGCUUAAAAAUUUGUCUAAGUUCGGUCCAAAAGAAAAUUGUUAAGCCUAAGCCCGGCCCAUAUUAAAUUUUACAACACCAAAAAACUAUAUAUUUAAUAUAUAUAUUUGAUUAAAAAGUAUAUUUAAUUAAAAAUAAAAAUAUAUAUUUAAUAUAUAAUUCGGGCCGGGCCGAACUCGGGCCAAAAAAGUUUUACUCGGGGCUGGUCCGUUUUCUAAACAGACCUCGUUUUUUUGUCAAAAUCCAUAUUUUAGGCUUAUAUUUUUACCCGAAACUUCCUAUUUUUCGGGUGAACCGUCAGGCCGGACUAGGUAGCCCAACCAAUGAUCACCUCUACUUGAGACAACAGGGUUUUGCAGGGAAUUCUUACAGGUUCGUUUCUGGCGACAUAAAAGAGCUCUUCACUAUAAGCAUACAAACAAGAGCCAAACCUAUGCCUCUUAGUGAUGAUAUUGGGCCUUAUGUUGUUCCUUUUCAACAUCAAACCGUCAAUCAGUAUGGUAUGUUUUUUAAUUUAAUCUGCAAUUUAUGAUAAUUCUUUGCUAUUUAUGUAUGGAAUUUAUUGGGAGGAAAUGCUGGGAAGAAUUCAUUUACGUGGAUUGGUCCAAGAUCAAGGGUGAACAUUACGGACCCGGAAAAAUAAGAGAAAUACUUAACAAAUUUAAUGACUUCCAGAAGGUACGUACCAAUCCACUGCUUAAUUUGCUUGUAAGCGGCCUUGUUAACCUCGAAGGAGACCGAUGGAGCAAGCAUAGAAAAAUCAUAACCCUUCAUUUCAUCAAGAUAAGUUGAAGGUAUAGAAUAGUGAUGGGUACUUAGACUUAAUUUACAGAAAACAUCAUACUUAAAUCUAUGCUUUUCUGAUUUAGAAAUGAUUGGAUGCAGAAUAUGUUGCCAGCAUUUUAUCAAAGUUGUUGUGACAUGUUAAGCAAAUGGGAGAAGAUGGUGUGUACAGAAGGAUACAGUGAGUUAGAUGUGUGGCCUUAUCUUGUAGAUUUGACAAGAGAUGUGAUUUCCCGAUCUGCUUUUGGAAGCAGCUUCGAAGAAGGCAGACGAAUUUUCCAAUUACUAGAGGACCAACUCGUUCUCACAAUCAAAUUAAUACAAACUGUUUACAUUCCAGGAUGGAGGUAACCCUCAACUUAAUUUACUUGAAAAAGGUUGCAAAUGUUGGAAUUGGCUAAAUUCGUGUUUGUUUUCUUGAAGGUUUUUGCCAACAAAGACAAACAGGGAGAUGAAGAUGAAACACAGACAUAAAAGAGUCGCUUAGGGAAAUGAUAAAGAGAAGGGAGAAGGCAAUUAAAGCAGGGGAAGAGAGCAAUGAGGACUUGUUGGACAUACUUGUGGAAUCCAAUAUCAGAGAAAUGGAAGCAAAGAAAAAGGGGAUGAGCAUUGAGGAUGUGAUUGAGGAAUGCAAGCUGUUUUACUUUGCUGGCCAGGAGACCACUUCGGUCUUGCUGGUGUGGACUAUGGUUUUAUUAGCAAGGUAUCCCGAUUGGCAAAGUAAAGCAAGAGAGGAGGUUUUGCAUGUUUUGGGUGACAGUAAACCUGAUGCUGAUGGCCUUAAUCGUCUCAAAGUUGUAAGUCCCUAGCAUGUCUCUUGAAGGUCCGAUCUCUGAGGUCGACAACUCAAAAACUUGGUUUCUUUGUUUCGCUAAUUCUACAGUUAACAAUGAUAUUGUACGAGGUUCUAAGGCUGUACCCACCAGUGAUUGAGCUAGGACGUUCCGUUCCAAAAGAAAUAAAACUGGGAAAUUUGUUGUUACCAGCAGGAACAGACGUUUCGGUUCCAAUCCUGCAGAUCCACCAUGACAAAGAUCUUUAGGGCGACGACGCACGGGAAUUUAAGCCACAGCGGUUCACGGAAGGGGUUUCCUAAGCAACAAAGAGUCAAGUCACGUUUCUGCCAUUCGGAUGGGGUCCUAGGAUCUGCAUUGGCCAAAACUUUGCCAUGAUGGGAACCAAAAUGGCGAUGGCUAUGAUUCUCCAACGCUUCUGGUUCGAGCUUUCCUCUUCCUAUGCUUACUCUCCUUACAACAUGGCAACUCUUCGUCCACAGCAUGGUGCACAGAUAAUUUUACAAAAACUUGGCUGUAAUUGAAUUGUUAUGUAAACAAAUCUUUGUGAAAAUAUAGUGUUUUAGUGUAUCGUCAAAGUCUGCCUGUAAUGGUACAAUUCCGAUGCAUGAAUAGUAAAUCUUGAGAUGUUUGGUGAAGUCCGAAAUAAUAUGCAGAAAUUGAGUGUCUUGAAUGGAUGUAGUAUUUAAUGGUGGACAUAGUUGAGGGACUAAUGUGGUAAUUAUCAAACAAAUAAUUGCAUAUGGUACAAAGACUUGUAUGGAAAUUAGAGCAGGGCGAGUUGAAAAUUACUACUUUGCUUCGGGCAUCAAUUUAGAAAGAUUUAAAGUACAAAUGUAUUAUUAGUUUAAGGGAUUUGUUUUAAAGAAGGAAUGACAAUUAAACCUCAUGGUUGAUGUGUGGAAGGGAACCAAUGAUGGGAUGAUUACUCUUAGUGGUAAAAAAAAAAACUAUUAAGGUGGUUAUUAUAGUUGUUAUCACCGGCCCAAAAUUCGAAUAGGUUCAGGUCGGAUUAUAUUGAGCUUGUAGAUGAGUUUGCAUGAUAAUAGGUGUUCACAGAAAGAUAUCUAUAGUUUCCUACAAAGUCACAUGUGAGAUCGUGCAUUGGGACCGCAUAAAAAUGUUUUAUGUUUAGAAUAUGAUACGUGUCUAUGUGUAUGGAAUCUACCUAAUAUAUCAUAUUAAUUAAUAGUAUCAAUUGCGGAGCCAAAAAAUUAUUUCUGAGGGGUCAGAAUUAAAUUGUAUAUUUUUACAAAAAUAAAAAUUAAAUUUCACUAUUUUAAUAGUUUAUUUCUUUUUAAUUUUUAAAUGAUUAAAUUAAAUUUUUAUAAAUUUUUGGGAUCAAAGUACAAUUUUAUCAUUUCUAAUUUAAAAUUUUAUAAAAUAUAAAAAGUUUAUAUGAAAAGUUUUCUAUUUUAGAGUGGCCAAAGCCCCUGCCAACUUCCGACUCGAUCACUAAACAAUAUAAAUAAAUAAAUACCACCAUCUAAAAGACUCAAGAAAAACACUCAACGAUAAAUAGAUAGAUGUUGGGUAAAGAUACGUUUGGAUGGGCGGUGCGUUUACUUGCGGUUAGUAUAAAAAUAGCGGUGGCGGUUAGAUUAGAUACUAUAGCAACACUGUAGCGUAAGACAAAAAAUAAGCUAAACGUACUGCACUGCACUUAAUCGCCCAUCCAAACUCACCCUAAGUGUACAAAAUAUGAUUUAAGUGAAGAUACGUAGGGUAGGUGUCAUGGAAAUGUAAAAGACAAGAAUCCCACUAAUGUAUGGGAUGUGUACAGCUGAAUGUAGGGAGCAAAGAGGAGUGAAUCAUUUUGGUAACAUUUGGACAAGAAACAUAAUGAACAAAAUGAAAGGAGAGGAAGCUAGUAAAAGAUUUUUUUGAGUUAUAUAAUUUGUUUGGCAUAUAUUUUUAUAAUUUUUAAAUAUCAUUUUGGAGUUGAAUUAUAAUUUCUUUUUAUGUUUUAAAACAUAAUUAUUCUAUCUUCAAAGGGUUAGAGUAGAGGUGAGCAUGGGUCGGGCUACUCGGCCCGAAAUGUGAGAGAUUUGGGCAAAAAUAUAGGCUCAAAAAAUGGACUUGGACAAAAAAAUAUAAGACCCGUUGAAAAAUGGGCCGGGCAUUGGGUAAGGCAUUUUUGGCCCUGGGCCCGGCCCAAUCCUAAUUCACUAAAGGACAAAAAAAAUUUGAUUUUUAAAUAUUAUUUUCUUCCUAUUUUGCUACCAUUUUACUAUUAUGUUGCUACUAUUUUGUUGUUAUUUUUUGGAUAUUGUAUAAAACUUAUUUUAUUGUUAAUUUUGUUAUUAUUUUAAAGACAUUUGUUAAUUUUGUUAUUAUUUUAGAGACAUUUGCUUGUUAAGUUGUAUCUAUCUUAGUGUUAUUUAAGUGUACAUAUUUUUUAAAAUUUAUUUUCAAUUUAUUGGGAAAUAUUUAUUUUGAUGUUUUUAGUAUUUUGGAUGUAUUAUAUAUAUUAAAAUUAUAUAAAAAUUAAUAUGGCCGAGCCGAGUCAGGCCCAGAUUUUAGCAUUUUUAUUCAGGUCGGGCUUGAGCAAAAUUUUAAGCCCAUUUUUUGGGCCAAACCAGGCCUGGGCUUAGCAAAUGGGCCUAAAUUUUUAGUCAAGCCCGACCUAAACCCGAUCCGGCCCAUGCUCACCUCUAGAUCAGAGCUGCCCUCGCUUUGCAUUUCUUUGAGAUUCAGUCUUAUCUACUGUUGAUUGCCCACUCAAUGGAGGGUUGAGUAGAAAGAUUUGGUGAAGCAAGCUAAGCUAUCAAUCAAGGUUGGAGAAAGCUUAGGAGGUCACAAUGCAUAAUUAUUUAAAUGUAAUUCUAAUAUUUAAAUAAAAUUUAUUAAUAUAGUAUUAACAAGCCCUAAAUGUAAUGAGUAUAUACUAUUACAUUUUUAAGAAGAGAAAACAUGUUUGAACCUUAAAAACAUCAUUAUUAAAAAUGAUAAUUACAAAUUUUAAAAUAUAAAAAAUAUAAUUAAAAAUUAAUUUUAAACCCGAGCUGGAUAAAAUUCUAAUUUUAGAUAACGAUACUAAUAAGAAAUCAAUAUUAAAAUGAAAAUGAAAAGUAAUUUAAUAUAAUUUUUGAGUCUUGGGCAAAGGCACUCAAUGAAUGCUUGGAAAGAAAUAAUGCAACUUGGUGAUAGCUUUUGUUGGAGUAGUAUGCUCUUAUUAUAGUUUUAUGUUUUUAUCUUGCAAAAACAACAUAUUGGAGUUUUCGGCAUGAUUUUUUCUUAAUACUUUACAUGAAAAAUAAUAAUGGGACUUAAAAAUCUAUCAAAAGCUUCACCAUAAUAAUAAUAAUAAUAAUAAUAAUAAUAAAUUGCUACAAUAUUACAACACAAAGUUACAAUAAGAGCUUAUAACUCAACAAAGGUUAUCAAUAAAUAAUCUCAGGCAAGCUAAAGAGAAAUGUUGAGAAUACCACCCGAAUAGUGACUGACUUUAAAAGUUGAAAACCCGAAGCUAUAGUAUCUCAAACGAAAUCAAACCAUUAACAUUAAAAUUUUCAAGUCUACUAGCUACUGUAAAAAAUGCAGCUCCAACAUACACCAAAUGAGUCUUUGAUCGAAGAAAGUACAAAAACUAGUCUGGGUAAACCAAGCUGCCAAACUUACUUAUCUUAUCUUUAAUUUUGCAGUGAAAUUAAAAAUUAAGUUUUUGUUUAUUUCACUUGGAACAACUUUCAAAAAAUUAUUUUUGAAAAAUGGAUUGGUUUUUCGAAAUAGAUGAUAUUUUAUUGUGUUAAAAUUUUAUUCGUUGUUGGAAAACUUUUUUUAAAUCAUUUUCUUAAAGUUAUUUUUAGUGAAACAAACAUAACAUAAAUAUAUUUGUUACAAAAAAAUUAUAUUAGUAUUUUCUUUUGACAAUUAAAAUUUAUUUUAUGAUAAGACAAUAUUUUGUAAUAAUUAAUAUCAUAUAUAUAUACGUAAUAAAAAAAUCUUGUUUAAUUAAAAUUUAAUUAAAAUUAAAUAUAUUAAUAAAGCUACAUAUAAUCAUAUUUUUUAUAAUUAAAAUAUUAAUAUAAAUAUUUUUCAAUAAUAUAUUAAAAUAUUAAAAUUUAAAUUAUUAUUACUUAAAUUAAUUAUUAAAAUAAAAAAUUUAAUAUUAAAUAAUUUAUUCAAUGAUAAGUUUUAUUAAUAAUUUAUUGUAUUAUUAAAUAUAAUUAAUUAAAUAUGCAUAUUUAAUAAUAUUACGUUAUAAUAUUUUAAUAUUCUUAAACAGCCAUGUUUUUAAGAUGCUGGUGAUGGUGAUGCUGCGGGCCUCUCUUGUUACAAUUACUAUAAUUUUUUGUGCAAUAAUUGAAGUUGUUGGGUGGUCAAGCAAACCUCUUUUGACUGAGAUGCAUAUAAUAUACCCGCAUGUCCCCGCCUCCUAAAAUUUAAAUUUGUUAUUUGAAUCUUUAAAUUUUUUAAUAUAAUAUACCCGCAUGUCCCCGCCUCCUAAAAUUUAAAUUUGUUAUUUGAAUCUUUAAAUUUUUUAAAAAUUUUAAAUUCAUAAAAGUAAAAUUAUACUUUGACCCUCUAAAAUUAUAAAAAUUUAAUUAAUCUUUUAAAUUCAUUGGGCCCCUAAUAUAUUGUUCAGGCUUCACCCUUGAUACUGAUGUUGACUAUUUUAGAGUAUGUGUCUUCUUUAACAGGGUUAAAUUAUAUAUUUAUAUAAUAUAGUUAUUGUUUAUGGACGUGACAUCGUAACUAGGUUCUUAUGCAUGUCAACAUAUAUCCUAUUUUAAGGUUAACACGUAUUUUUAAAUGUGAAUUCACCUAUAUAAUGGUAUGAACCAUCAUGCAGUCUCAUAAAAUAUGCGAAUAUAUGUCGUGCGAACACAAAGUACAAUCCACACAGAAUACGAAUUAAGACCCAAUUGAAUAAUCGGAUACGAAUCAGUAAUAAUGAAUUUCAUAACAGCCACCAACCCCUCUUUUGUUUUAAUUUAUUUUAUUUCCAGUAAGUUAUUGUUUGUGAGAAUUCACAACAAAUGCUUUUGUCAUUAUUUUGUUGGUAAAUAAUAAUAAGAUUAAACUUUACUUUCUUAAGCUCCUUCAAUUCUUUGGAAGUUGGUGGUUUUUUAUUCUAAUCUUAUUUUUUUUAUUAAUUUCUUUUUUUAUAAUAAAUGUGUUUAUAGAUCAGGUUGGAUUAUAAUUGAAUCAUUGUCUGGUAUUAACAUAAUUUAAAUCGAUUAAAAUUUAUUCGACUGGAAAUAUAAAUUUAAAAUUUUACUUCAAUUUAUCUUAAUUUAUAAAUUGUGAAUUUAAAUUUAUUUAUUUUCUCUCAUUAUAUUCAGUUUUUCGGAUCAUAUUUGGCCCAGAACAAAAACUAGAACAAAAAAACAAAUAUAUAUGUUUUCCAAAAAUUAAAUUGUUAACUUUAAAAAAAUAUAUUUUUAGCUAUUUAUCAUCAUAGAGAAAAACAAAUAAGGUCACCUCGCCUUAUGCUUCAACACCUCAACCUAGAUUCUCAUCACCUGUAUUUAUCAUCGAUUCAGAUUUUUAUUUUUACUAUAUUCUAGAUCUACCUAUAAAUAUAUCUUCAAACUUCCUCUGGUUAAGUUCAUUCAUAGAUAGGUGAGUAAACUUGAGCUUCAGCUUCAACAAACACCUUAGUUUGCAAUUCUCUCAUACUAAAAAUAUGGAAGUUUACCAUGUAAUUAGAGAUUUGGUCUCAUUGCUUGUUGUUGGUUUAUUAAUGAUAUGGGGAUGGAGAGCUUUAAACUGGGUAUGGUUGGCCCCAAAGAGGCUCGAAAGGUGCUUGAGACAACAGGGUUUUGCAGGGAAUCCUUACAGGUUCCUUUCUGGUGACAUAAAAGAGCUCUUAACUAUGAGCAGACAAACAAGAGCCAAACCUAUGCCUCUUAGUGAUGAUAUUGGGCCUUAUGUUGCUCCUUUUCUUCAUCAAACUGUCAACCAGUAUGGUAUGUUUAAUUAUUAUUUAAUCUUCAAUUUAUGAUAAUUCUUUGUUAUUUAUGAAUGGAAUUUAUUGGGAGGAAAUGCAGGAAAGAAUUCAUUUACGUGGAUUGGUCCAAGACAAAGGGUGAACAUUAUGGACCCUGAAAAAAUAAGAGAAAUAUUUACCAAAUUUAAUGACUUCCAGAAGGUGCGUACCAAUCCACUGCUUACUUUGCUUGUAAGCGGCCUUGUUAACCUCGAAGGAGACCGAUGGAGCAAACAUAGAAAAAUCAUAAACCCUUCAUUUCAUCAAGAUAAGUUGAAGGUAUAGAAUAGUGAUGGGUACUUAAGACUUAAUUUACAGAAAACAUGAUACUUAAAUCUAUGCUUUUCUGAUUUAGAAAUGAUUGGAUGCAGAAUAUGUUGCCAGCAUUUUAUCAAAGUUGUUGUGACAUGUUAAGCAAAUGGGAGAAGAUGGUGUGUACAGAAGGAUACAGUGAGUUAGAUGUGUGGCCUUAUCUUGUAGAUUUGACAAGAGAUGUGAUUUCCCGAUCUGCUUUUGGAAGCAGCUUCGAAGAAGGCAGACGAAUUUUCCAAUUACUAGAUGACCAACUCGUUCUCAGAAUCAAAUUACUACAAACUGUUUACAUUCCAGGAUGGAGGUAACCCUCAAUUUACUUGAAAAAGGUUGCAAAUGUUGGAAUUGGCUAAAUUCGUGUUUGUUUCCUUGAAGGUUUUUGCCCACAAAGACAAACAGGGAGGUGAAGAUGAAACACAAAGACAUAAAAGAGUCGCUCAGGGAAAUGAUAAAAAGAAGAGAGCAGGCAAUUAAAGCAGGGGAAGAGAGCAAUGAGGACUUGUUGGACAUACUUGUGGAAUCCAAUAUCAGAGAAAUGGAAGCAAAGAAAAAGGGGAUGAGCAUUGAGGAUGUGAUUGAGGAAUGCAAGCUGUUUUACUUUGCUGGCCAGGAGACCACUUCGGUCUUACUGGUGUGGACUAUGGUUUUAUUAGCAAGGUAUCCCGAUUGGCAAAGUAAAGCAAGAGAGGAGGUUUUGCAUGUUUUGGGUGACAGUAAACCUGAUGCUGAUGGCCUUAAUCGCCUCAAAGUUGUAAGUCCCUAGCAUGUCUUUUGAAGGUCCGAUCAAUAAGGUCGACAACUCAAAAAUUUGGUUUCUUUUUUCGCUAAUUCUACAGUUAACAAUGAUAUUGUACGAGGUUCUAAGGCUGUACCCAUCAGCGACUGAGCUAGGACGUUCCGUUCCAAAAGAAAUAAAACUGGGAAAUUUGUUGUUACCAGCAGGAACAGAAAUUUCGGUUCCGAUCCUGCUGAUCCACCAU
Molecule: long non-coding RNA, 14045 nt
Filed under: Gossypium barbadense (sea-island cotton)
Lineage: Eukaryota; Viridiplantae; Streptophyta; Magnoliopsida; Malvales; Malvaceae
Description: long non-coding RNA (GBAR_LNC013164)
Source: RNAcentral